Molecule: ribosomal RNA, 1728 nt
Filed under: Salmonella enterica subsp. enterica serovar Stanley
Lineage: Bacteria; Pseudomonadati; Pseudomonadota; Gammaproteobacteria; Enterobacterales; Enterobacteriaceae
Description: partial 23S ribosomal RNA
Rfam family: Bacterial large subunit ribosomal RNA
Source: RNAcentral
CCCCGGCGAGGGGAGUGAAAAAGAACCUGAAACCGUGUACGUACAAGCAGUGGGAGCACCCUUCGGGGUGUGACUGCGUACCUUUUGUAUAAUGGGUCAGCGACUUAUAUUCUGUAGCAAGGUUAACCGAAUAGGGGAGCCGGAGGGAAACCGAGUCUUAAUUGGGCGUUAAGUUGCAGGGUAUAGACCCGAAACCCGGUGAUCUAGCCAUGGGCAGGUUGAAGGUUGGGUAACACUAACUGGAGGACCGAACCGACUAAUGUUGAAAAAUUAGCGGAUGACCUGUGGCUGGGGGUGAAAGGCCAAUCAAACCGGGAGAUAGCUGGUUCUCCCCGAAAGCUAUUUAGGUAGCGCCUCGUGAAUUCAUCUCCGGGGGUAGAGCACUGUUUCGGCUAGGGGGCCAUCCCGGCUUACCAACCCGAUGCAAACUGCGAAUACCGGAGAAUGUUAUCACGGGAGACACACGGCGGGUGCUAACGUCCGUCGUGAAGAGGGAAACAACCCAGACCGCCAGCUAAGGUCCCAAAGUCAUGGUUAAGUGGGAAACGAUGUGGGAAGGCCCAGACAGCCAGGAUGUUGGCUUAGAAGCAGCCAUCAUUUAAAGAAAGCGUAAUAGCUCACUGGUCGAGUCGGCCUGCGCGGAAGAUGUAACGGGGCUAAACCAUGCACCGAAGCUGCGGCAGCGACACUGUGUGUUGUUGGGUAGGGGAGCGUUCUGUAAGCCUGUGAAGGUGUGUCGUGAGGCAUGCUGGAGGUAUCAGAAGUGCGAAUGCUGACAUAAGUAACGAUAAAGCGGGUGAAAAGCCCGCUCGCCGGAAGACCAAGGGUUCCUGUCCAACGUUAAUCGGGGCAGGGUGAGUCGACCCCUAAGGCGAGGCCGAAAGGCGUAGUCGAUGGGAAACGGGUUAAUAUUCCCGUACUUGGUGUUACUGCGAAGGGGGGACGGAGAAGGCUAUGUUGGCCGGGCGACGGUUGUCCCGGUUUAAGCGUGUAGGUGUGUGUUCCAGGUAAAUCCGGUUCACUUUAACACUGAGGCGUGACGACGAGGCACUACGGUGCUGAAGCAACAAAUGCCCUGCUUCCAGGAAAAGCCUCUAAGCAUCAGGUAACAUCAAAUCGUACCCCAAACCGACACAGGUGGUCAGGUAGAGAAUACCAAGGCGCUUGAGAGAACUCGGGUGAAGGAACUAGGCAAAAUGGUGCCGUAACUUCGGGAGAAGGCACGCUGACACGUAGGUGAAGUGAUUUACUCAUGGAGCUGAAGUCAGUCGAAGAUACCAGCUGGCUGCAACUGUUUAUUAAAAACACAGCACUGUGCAAACACGAAAGUGGACGUAUACGGUGUGACGCCUGCCCGGUGCCGGAAGGUUAAUUGAUGGGGUCAGCGCAAGCGAAGCUCCUGAUCGAAGCCCCGGUAAACGGCGGCCGUAACUAUAACGGUCCUAAGGUAGCGAAAUUCCUUGUCGGGUAAGUUCCGACCUGCACGAAUGGCGUAAUGAUGGCCAGGCUGUCUCCACCCGAGACUCAGUGAAAUUGAACUCGCUGUGAAGAUGCAGUGUACCCGCGGCAAGACGGAAAGACCCCGUGAACCUUUACUAUAGCUUGACACUGAACAUUGAGCCUUGAUGUGUAGGAUAGGUGGGAGGCUUUGAAGCGUGGACGCCAGUCUGCGUGGAGCCGACCUUGAAAUACCACCCUUUAAUGUUUGAUGUUCUAACGUGGACCCGU